AUUGAACGCUGGCGGCAUGCCUUACACAUGCAAGUCGAACGGCAGCACGGGUGCUUGCACCUGGUGGCGAGUGGCGAACGGGUGAGUAAUAUAUCGGAACGUACCUUAUUGUGGGGGAUAACGCAGCGAAAGCUGUGCUAAUACCGCAUAAUCCCUAAGGGGGAAAGCGGGGGACCGUAAGGCCUCGCGCAAUUAGAGCGGCCGAUACCUGAUUAGACAGUUGGUGAGGUAAAGGCGCAGCAAGGCAACGAUCAGUAGCUGUGCUGAGAGGACGAUCAGCCACACUGGGACUGAGACACGGCCCAGACGCCUACGGGAGGCAGCAGUGGGGAAUUUUGGACAAUGGGGGCAACCCUGAUCCAGCAAUGCCGCGUGAGUGAAGAAGGCCUUCGGGUUGUAAAGCUCUUUUGUCAGGGAAGAAACAGCAGCUCUAACACAGUUUGCGAAUGACGGUACCUGAAGAAUAAGCACCGGCUAACUACGUGCCAGCCGCCGCGGUAA
RNAcentral lists this ribosomal RNA (501 nucleotides) under uncultured bacterium. RNAcentral describes it as "partial 16S ribosomal RNA". It matches the Rfam family "Bacterial small subunit ribosomal RNA", at positions 30 to 523 of the family's 1533-position model. The record is from RNAcentral.